CGUACACUCCUACGGGAGGCAGCAGUGGGGAAUAUUGGACAAUGGGCGCAAGCCUGAUCCAGCCAUGCCGCGUGAGUGAUGAAGGCCCUAGGGUUGUAAAGCUCUUUCACCGGUGAAGAUAAUGACGGUAACCGGAGAAGAAGCCCCGGCUAACUUCGUGCCAGCAGCCGCGGUAAUACGAAGGGGGCUAGCGUUGUUCGGAUUUACUGGGCGUAAAGCGCACGUAGGCGGACUAUUAAGUCAGGGGUGAAAUCUCGGGGCUCAACCCCGGAACUGCCUUUGAUACUGGUAGUCUUGAGUUCGAGAGAGGUGAGUGGAAUUCCGAGUGUAGAGGUGAAAUUCGUAGAUAUUCGGAGGAACACCAGUGGCGAAGGCGGCUCACUGGCUCGAUACUGACGCUGAGGUGCGAAAGCGUGGGGAGCAAACAGGAUUAGAAACCCCAGUAGUCCCA
Molecule: ribosomal RNA, 451 nt
Filed under: uncultured organism
Description: partial 16S ribosomal RNA
Rfam family: Bacterial small subunit ribosomal RNA
Source: RNAcentral